RNAcentral lists this long non-coding RNA (452 nucleotides) under Erythranthe guttata (spotted monkey flower). RNAcentral describes it as "long non-coding RNA (EGUT_LNC001732)". The record is from RNAcentral. Lineage: Eukaryota; Viridiplantae; Streptophyta; Magnoliopsida; Lamiales; Phrymaceae.
CAGGAGCCAACGCUCCUCCUCGUGAGGCCCCACUGGGUCCUCACCAUGAUCAAUUUCUACUUACUUCUCGAACGGUUCAGAUAACCGAAGAAGACCUUCAGCGUAUGAUCACGGAAGAUUCAACUCGUGCUGCCACUGAAUCAGUGGCACCAUAUAUCGCCAAGGUGAGGCAUCUCACCCCAGUGGUUCGUGAUCGCCUCAUCCUAAAUGGGGGGCUAUCCCAUCCUAAAUUUGGGCAUCUCCUCUCAAGGGUGGUACAUCCACUGACCUUUCAUCCCCAAGGGGGUGCACAUCCCAUCUCAAGGAACGAGGAUAAUCUCCCUACUUAAAAAAUAGAACAUCCCCAAGAGGGGUGCACAUCCCAUCUCAAGGAACGAGAAUAAUCUCCCUACUCAAAAAAUAGAACAUCCCCAAGGGGGUGCACAUCCCAUCUCAAGGAACGAGAAUAAUCU